AUAAAAUAUGUAAAUCAUGGUAUACCCCACUGAGUUAGUCAGUACGCAAUCCGCGUCCAGCUACCACGCCGGUCUGAUCCGCUUCCCUCUCCAAACCCUUUCCAAAAAAUGAUCUCAUCUUUCGAAACCCUUUUCGUCAAAUCCCCUCUCGCACUCUCUCUCUCUCUCUCUCUCUCUCUCUCUCUCAUUCCCUCGCUCUGGAUCUGAUCUGACCGUGAUUCGUGUCGUCGGGCACAAACGCGAUGUCAAGAAGGACGACGCCGAGAUCAAUUGCAAGGAAAACCCUCUCCCAUUCGGAGAGGCCGUCAUCUGAUCUUGCCGGUUGCUCGAAACCGAGGAGAGGAACGAGAGAGGCCGCAGAGAUCGCCGCGGUUUCGGCGAGAAAUUGCCGUCGACUCGAGGAAGAAAUAGAAGGAGAAGCAGAAGAAGCUUUGGGAAGGAAGCGAGCUUGAGAGGUGCGUUAAUGGCGAUUCGUGUAGAGGGAAAAGGGAUUUAAAGAGGGUUUGAAGCGAAUCGGGUUCGAAUCCCUCCGGUGUUACUGGGAUUAUUUAUUUUCAUGAAGAUCCAAUGAACAGAUUUACAAAUAUCAUCAGGAUCUUCUUCUUUGGUAGAAACGAUGAAGGAAAUCAUAAAAAGCUAUAGGCACUAUGACAGUUUAGUUGCAGCCAAACAUCUGGUGAGCAAAGGUCAUUUUCAAAAUUCAACUUGAUACUUGUUUUUUAGUCUGAUUUUGUACAUAUUUCCCUUCUAUGAUACUCCUGAGUUAAAGGAGACUGUUUCUGUGGCAAACAAUGCAUGUUGGGAAAUUGGAGAACUGGCAGUUAACAUCAGUUAUCUUGCGCUAUGAAAUUUCCAGUUAACAUCUCAGAUUUGGAGCUGCUUAGAAAUGAAGUGCGGGUCAUACAUCCUUGUCUUCAAUUGGGACACAUUUACAUCGAAUCGUGGCUAGUGCCUUUUAACUAUCCACUUUUUACAUACAGGUCGUGCAUGUGAUGACCUGACAGGCUUAUUUUGGUCAUUGCACAUAUACUGCAGGGCCCACCUGAUGAAUGGCCCAGAUCUUACACAGGUCACAUGUGUGGGAGAGUAGGAACAUAGCCAUCACAUUCUCUGUUGCUUAUUUGUUCUAUAGACGGUUCUUUUAGUGGCCCCUUAAGCUGAAGUAAAUUGAACUUGUGAAGUAAUGCUGCAGGGCGAAUUACACCUCUUGCUGAAGGAUGCAGAGGUUCAUUAUCUGAGAAAAUAAUCAAAGACCACAAACUGUGAGAGAAGGGGCAUGCACAACAUCAAACAUAUGCUUUGGGUAUCAAAGAGGUGUGGGAAAUUGAUGAAAGAAAGCACAGAUCUGGCUUCAUGCUUCACACAUUGGGUUGGCCAUUGGACAGCAAGACAUAUGGGGGAUCCUUUCUUUUCCACAUGAAAGAUAGGCAGGUAGUCCCAUUUUCUUUUCUGCCUUUUCUUUUUUCAUUUCUUAACUGAAUAAGCAAUGAAAAUCUCAACUAAUGGAGCCACGAAUAAAUCAACAUAGCAUUUUGAUGAUUGAUUGUCCUCAUUAUUGAUAAUUCCUGGAACAUUUGCUUGAAGUUUUAUGCAAAAUUGGUGAAUUUGGGCCAAUGUAAGAUUAUAUAAGCAUGAAACGAAAUCUUGCUUAGUGUUGACUAUGCCUUGCUCAACGAUAGCCUUAUUGAGUUGUGAAUAAGAGAGCCACCGCAGAUGCUCUUGCGAGCUUCUUUUUUUCACACCAGUAGAAUAACCAUGAAUGUGAAGAGAUCUCUCUCCGGUCUCCAUUGGCAUUGCUAAACAAACUCACACUAUAGAUAUAUUCUUCAAUGUAUUGCAUUUUUGUCACUUGUCUUUUGAUAAUAUAGUUAUUUGUUUUUGGCAAUGCAUUGCUCUCAUAAACAUGAUCUGAAUGUCGAUUAGAUUCGUCUGUUUUGGGCGAAUGCACAUACAAUAAUGCCCCAUAUAUGAAUAGAUAGGUGAUGUCUGU
This is a long non-coding RNA of Magnolia sinica, 1990 nucleotides long. RefSeq lists it as uncharacterized. Lineage: Eukaryota; Viridiplantae; Streptophyta; Magnoliopsida; Magnoliales; Magnoliaceae. The record is from RefSeq and is a predicted model, not a curated record. The transcript has 5 exons.